UAAAAUAUAGUUUAAAAAAAACAUUAUAAUUUCAUUAUAAAAAUUUAUAAUCAUAAUAUUUUAA
RNAcentral lists this transfer RNA (64 nucleotides) under Leptopilina syphax. RNAcentral's name for it is "tRNA-Glu". Lineage: Eukaryota; Metazoa; Arthropoda; Insecta; Hymenoptera; Figitidae. The record is from RNAcentral.